CGUUCGAUAGCUCAGUUGGUAGAGCGGAGGACUGUAGAUCCUUAGGUCGCUGGUUCGAAUCCGGCUCGAAGAA
This 73-nucleotide transfer RNA is filed under the name Saccoglossus kowalevskii. Its description in RNAcentral is "tRNA-Tyr". It matches the Rfam family "tRNA". From Rfam's summary of the family: Transfer RNA (tRNA) molecules are approximately 80 nucleotides in length. Their secondary structure includes four short double-helical elements and three loops (D, anti-codon, and T loops). The record is from RNAcentral. Lineage: Eukaryota; Metazoa; Hemichordata; Enteropneusta; Harrimaniidae.